This is a long non-coding RNA of Mesocricetus auratus (golden hamster), 5149 nucleotides long. RefSeq lists it as uncharacterized. The transcript is spliced from 2 exons. Lineage: Eukaryota; Metazoa; Chordata; Mammalia; Rodentia; Cricetidae. The record is from RefSeq and is a predicted model, not a curated record.
GAGGGGCAGGGCGGCCACCGCCAAGCCGGAGAGGCGCGGGACCCUGUCCAGACAGCUGCGUGGGCCGUGCAGGGCAUCUGUGUUUGUCCCGGUUGGGGGCGCUGGAGCAGCGUGCUCUCUGGGGCUGUAAUGACCUUGACCUGCGCUCCCCAUCAUUCCCCAUUCGCAUCCCCAUCACUGUAAGGAGUCCUUGGAUCAGUUCUGUUGCUCUCCCAGGCCUUUUCGACUCCUGCUUGGAUCCUCAGUCAUGGUGCUCUCCCGGACUUCCCAGUCCUUGUCCCGGCAACCUGCCUGGCGUCCUUUGCUCCUGGGGGUGGAGAGGCCUCGUCUCCAGACUGUUUUCUAAACUCCCCCUCCCCCAUCUAACUAGGACAGAGGAGGAAACAGACUUGGAAGUAGACCAAGUAACGGUUUUGGUGAGAGGAAAGUGGUGGUCUACCACCGCCAUCUUCAGGUUCCAGGAGGUGACUUCUCGCGGGCUGGGAUGAGGCAAAGGGUUGUUUGGCUACCAUUUUCUCUGAGAGACGGACGACAGGCUGCUUCCUCUUGAGUGCUAAUCGGCUUUUCCUUUCUCUUUCACAGAGAGCUGUGGUGUUGGCUUCACUUGCCUGCCAUGGGAACCUUUACCCAGCCAUAUUGGAGCAAAAGUCAAUUCAGCGGCCCCUGGCUGUUAGAAAGGCAGAUGUUGUCUUGUAAAACCGCACGUGCAGCCAUGUCUGUUAUUAACGGCUAGGAGCUGAUGUUCAUCAGUGGCCCAGUCAGGACAGAUCGUCAAAGAAGGUGAAUGAGCAAACACCCUGCAGCAGUUUUUGUGAAUGUUAAUACAUAUGUGACUAUAACAACACUACACGAAAUACUACUAGAUGUUUUCUGCAAAGAUGCACACAGGGAACUGUGUAGGAGGUUAGUGCAGCUAUAAACAGAUCUAGUGGCUCUUUCUGGUGACUGCGAAUCUUUUGCUUUCGGUAUACUGGCUCUUUUGCUUAAAUGGGGGAUUGCAUUUUAAGGCAUACACAUCAACAGUGUUUAGUAUGUUAUAGUUGUCUAACCACAACUACAGCUAAUACGUCAACAUUUCCACCCCCCAUCUGCUGGCACUCUAAUUCUCUUUUAGUUCUGAAUGGUACUCCAUUGAGUGGGUAGACCACAUUUGAUUAUUCAUUCAUUAACUAAUAGGUGCUGGGGUUUUACUGUUGUGAGUGAUCCUGCUAUGGAUAUUUUUUUUGGUAUGAAUUCAUGUAAUUUACUCUCUUUGGGGCAUAUACUAACGAAUGGGUUGUUUGCUGUGCUGGUUUCUUUUUUGUCAACUUGACAAAGCUGGGAUCAUCUAGGAAGGGGGACCAUUGACUGAGGAAUUGCCUCCAUCAGAUUGGACUGUGGGCAAGUCUGUGGGGGCAUGCCUCUUGAUUAAUGAUUGACAUGGGAGGGCGCAGCCCACUGUUUCUGGUACCACCCUGGGCAGGUGGUGUUGUGCUGUUUAAGAAAGUGGCCUGAACAAUCCAUGUAGAGCAAGCCGGUGAUCACUGUUUCUCCGUGGCCUCUGCUUCCGUUCCUGCCUUGGCCUCCCUCAGAAGCGUAGUGUCAUCUGUAAGUCAAAGAACCCUUUCUUCCCCAAGUUGCUUUUGGUCUUACUAUGUAUCAUAGCAUUAGACAGCAAGCCAGGACCGCUGGGUCCUGUGACAGUUUGAGAUCUUCUUGUGGAAUGGCCCAUCUCUUUUCCAAAGAGGUCUCCCUGUUUUCACUGACACCAACGGCACACCAUGUGACUUACAGUGUGCUGAGCGAUGCAGAGAACAUCAGCCUGUACACGCUCUGUCGCAGUUCCUGGCGCCAACCCUUUCUUCAGUCCAGUGCCAGCCAGCUCCCCAUCACUGUAACAGGUACCCGAGGUGAUUCGAGAGGCUCACUUUGGCUUACAGUUUGCUUUGGGGCUGUGGUAGCAUGCAUGCAUGCAUGCAUGGUGGAGUUAAAAUGCCAUACACUUCUCAUGGAGGGAAAGAAAAAGGAGAGGAUGGGACAUGAGACUGUCCUCCUCAAGGAUAGAACCCAAGGGGCAUGCUACUGGGCCUCAUCUCUUGAACUUUUUUUUUUCUUUUAUAGGAUUUAUUUAUUUAAUAUGUGGGCCAGGAGAGGGCAUCAGAUCUCAUUAUGGAUGAUUUUGAGGCACCAUGUGGUUGCUGGGAAACGAACUCAGGACCAUUGGAAGAGCAGCCAGUGCUCUUAACUACUGAACCAUCUUUCCAGCCCCUCUCUUGAACUUUUUACCACCUUCAGAUAGCAGCACCCUAGGGACCAAGGUUUUCACACACAGACCUUUGGCAGACCUUGCAGAUCUGAACCAUAAGACUUCCCUUACCCAGGCCCUGUAUCUUCCUCAGCAGAUCAUCUGCCUCCUGCAUGAAACAACAGACCGUGGGGGGAGGAGAGCUGCCUGAUCUGCUCACUGGAAUAGUGUUAGCACACUGGGAGAGACAGACUUAUGACUCCUGUUGCAGCUGCCUUCCCAUGGUUACCACAGCAAAUGGCAUCGUGCCGUGUUGCUUUUCCUCUGCUUUGUUUUGUUGCUGUUCACAGAUGUUUUGUCUUUUAUCGGUGUCUGAGUUUUAAAGCAAUCCUUAUAUCACAUCAUCUUUGAGUCUCAUCUCCCAGCUUCAAAAGGGAAACUACCUCUAGCAGGCAUCAGUGGGCUUUGAAUGUCUUCUAGCCCAGUGAUGUUGGAGCCCCUGUGGUUCCAGAUGUUGGUAGUGGAAGGUAUUUCCUGCUGGACCAUGAAGACCUGGCCCUGGAGCUUAAUGUGGGCAUUAAAGCAAGUGUCUGGGAUGUGUUGGAGUCCUAUAUUUGCAGAUGAGCCUGGUUUUAUUUCAUGUCUGUUUUGAAGGCUGAUAGCUCAGCCUAAGAUACCACAUACACCAUUCCCAGUCCUGAGCUGGUAACUGCUUUGCUAAAGGACUCCUUCAAACUGUAGUUUGCCUGGGUAAGUCAGUAUUGAAAACAAAGCUUUUCAGUUUCUUCCCAUAGAGCUGCUGCCCAGCCUCCUGUGGCUUGGGGGGGGAUUUAUUAUAAUGGCGUGCUGUUAGGCCUUGUCUAUCUGUGGGCUGUGUUACUAGGCACCCCUGAAACAAUCCCACUUGGAUCCAGAAGGCUUUUGUUGGAGGUUCAAAGCGUGUAAACUCAGAAGGUCUGUGGUUCCUUUGUAUGUGCUGGGGGGUGGGAUGCUUGUGGGGGAGAGUUGAAGUCCAGGCAAAGACGCUACUUUUGAAGUCACUUCAGUAUUGUUUGAGCUGCUUCCAAUAGUGUACUGUUCAAAGUGUCAUUGCAAAGUCUAGAAAUACAUACAGACACAAAAAUCACCCAAAAUCCUGCCACCACAGUGUAUUUGUGAUGUAUUUAUUCUAGACCAGUCCUUGUAUUGUGGCACAAAAGAAUUUUUGGGGGUUGAUAGAACUGCUUUGUAGUGGGGCUCACGACACAUCUGUCAGGACACUUUGAAAGGGUAAAGUUAGCAUUUUGUAAAUUAAGAGGACAGCAAUUUGCUCAUGAAUCUACGAUGUAGGGAGGGAGAGCUUGGGGGAAACUGUUUCUGCUCUAUGUAGUGGCAACCAGUAUGCUUAUAGGCCUGGGGGCUGACAAUGGCAGUUGGGUGGGACCUGACAGGACAGCUCAGUGCAAUCCUUGUGUGGCCAUCUAUACUUGCUGACAAUACGGAGGCUAUAUUUGCAGAUGAGGCCCCAGACAAGACAGCAACAGGUUUGUAGGAGCUGAUUUCAGAAGUCACAUGGUAUGACUUCCUAUGAACUUUAUUGGCUGAAGUGGGUCACACGUGUGUCUGACCACUGGAUGCAGGGAGUAUGGACCGUACAAAGGAAGACGAGUGCGUGAGAGGAUGUCUGAACGAUGGCAUAUCUUCAGAAAACACAAUGCCACUGGUCCUUAAGCUCUGUUCCUGGAGAAUUAUCCCUGAAGGCCUGGAGUGAAACCGCAGAACAUUAACAUGUUGUUGCUAGCAUUACUAUUAUGCUGGGAAUUUAACCAGAGCCUGGCAUAUUCUCGGCAAGCUCAUCACCUUGAGCUACAUCUUCUUUUUAAUUUUUUUUUUUGAGACAUGGUCUCCCUAAACUGCCCAGGCUGGUCUUGAAUACAUAUUGUGGCCCAAGGUAGCCUUGAACUCACAAUUCUCUUGGCUCAGUCUCUUGAGUAGCUGGGAUGACAGGCCUGUGCCACCCAGCCCAGAAUAAUCAUAUUUUUGAUGCAUUCUGAGUAACACUGAUGUGCAUUUAGGAUGGGCUUUGGCCCUUUGGCCUAGACCUAUGGCCUCUUACCCUGAGCCUGCGGAGUAUGGCCGCUCUCCUAGGUAAUGUGAUCCAAGACACUUUGAACUCUGUUGCCAGACCACCAUGACCAUAUGAUCUUACUUUCCCCCACUCUCUCUCUUGUGCGCGUGUGUGCGUGCGCGCGCGCACACACACACACACACACACACACACACACACACACACUUAACUUCCUGGGAAGGACCUGCUCAGUUUGGCUGUGCCUUACCACUGAGAUACCCCCACUUGCCAGGAGCUGAUGUCUGAUGAUGUGAAGGAAGAAGGCCAGACUUAAAGUAGGAUUUGUGGUGAGACUUGUUCCUGCUUUUCUUCAGGCUCCCUACUAUUUAAUUAGGCAACUAGUUGCUAUUCCCAAGUAUCUUGAGAUGAAAAGAAAGGAUAAGGAUGCUUAAUUCUGAAUCAGAGCUGAAUUUUCCAAUUGGCUCAUUGUUUUAAGGACAUAUGGGCUCUUGGACAUAUGAGUGCUGCAGGCCUCUGCACAAGUAGUGUAAAAUUCAUUUGUGUACUGCCCUGACUGGCUUCUCGUGUCAACCUGACACAGAGUCAUCAGAGAGGAAGGAGGCUCAGUUGAGGGAAUGCCUCCAUGAGACCCAGCUAUAAAGCAUUUUCUCAAUUAGCGAUCAAUGGGGGAGGGUCCAGCCCAUGGUGGGUGGUGCCAUCCCUGGGCUGGUGGGCCAGUAAGCAGCCCCCCUCCAAGACCUCUGUAUUAGCUCCUGGUGCCUGUCUCCAAGAUUGUGCCUUGUUUGAGUUCCUGUCCAGACUUACUUCAAGGAUAAACAACAAUUCUGUGUAAGCCAAAUAAACUCUUUCCGCCACAA